This is a long non-coding RNA of Pongo pygmaeus (Bornean orangutan), 2611 nucleotides long. RefSeq lists it as uncharacterized. The transcript has 6 exons. The record is from RefSeq and is a predicted model, not a curated record. Lineage: Eukaryota; Metazoa; Chordata; Mammalia; Primates; Hominidae.
UAAAAAACAGGACAACAUUAGCAUAUUCAUUGCAAAGUGUCUGGAGCAGCCCCUUAUGGACCUGAGAUGAUUAUCUUGAGAAGAAAAUUGUGAUGGACACAAGGAAGCAAAAGGGUGAUCUCUUGAAUGAAGAGCUGGCUGAUUGAAAGCAAAGGCUGAAGUGUCCUUAAGAAGAACAACGAAGCAAGCUUCUCUGCAUCAGGGCAAAGAACGUGGAGGAAUAAGAUGCUUGGGCCAGUGGGACCAGAAGUAUGAAAGCAGGAGAGGAUGGGAUGAGGACACUCAGAACACUAAUAUUUCCCCACAAAUUACUCAUCUCCUGUGGAGGGACUCCAUGACGUUAGGGUUACUUCCUGUCUUGUUUUUUUUGACUGCCUGUGAUCCACACUGAGCUGCGCUGCGGAAAAGGCACAGCAGACAGACUGAUGUAAGAGGGCUAAAAGAAGAUGACAUGUCAGCAGCAUAAACAUCAGUUUCAGAAUCUGACUGGCUGCUAGUGUGAAAAUGUCAGAAGUGAGCUGUGCCCCAAGAUGUUGAGGAGGUGUGAUGUUAAUGCUGAUGACACAGAUGGAGUCAGCAUGAAGCUUUGGCAGCAGCCUCUCCAAUACAGCUCCAGCCUUCUGUGGGCUUCUGAUGGCUUGAGUCAUUGUUACAGAGAUGGCUGAACAUUUCACCCCUCAUCUUGUGGUUUUUGGUUAUGGAUCCAACUGUUCAAGGAGCUGGUGUGAACUGAUUCCUAAAGCUAGAAUUAGUCCAACUCUGUUGCGGGUGUGAUGGCUCGUGGUGGGGAAAGCACUCAACUCUAACUUAGAAUUCUCUGAUUACUUCACCAUCUCCUUCAGUAAGUACACUGUCAACUCCUUCAGGGAAGAAUAGUAUUCUUUAUCUUCAUAUCACCUGGCACAUGUUAAAAGCCGCCUUCCUUUUUAAGUAUGCGUAAUCCAUCCAAAUCCUGCCUAAGAGAACAAAAGCGGUGCUGGUAAUUUUCUCUUUCACAAAAUGCAGAGACUUCCUCUCUGUCCUCUCCAAGUACCAUUCUAUGAAGUGAAGGGAAAUUACACUCCUCACCAUUGAAAAAGAGAUUAUGCAAAAUGAGAAGGCUGGAGUGCAAUGGCGCCAUUUCAGCUCCACUGCAACCUCUGCUUCCUGAGUUUGAGCGAUUCUCCUGCCUCAGCCUCCUGAGUAGCUGAGAUUACACCUGCUACUACGCCCAGCUAAUUUUUGUAUUUUUAGUAGAGACAGGGUUUCACCAUGUUGGCCAGGCUGGUCUCGAACUCAAGACUUCAGGUUAUUUGGAUAAAAUGCUUAUUUUCUUUUUAACAUAAGCACUGGCUGGAAAUAUUGGUUAUUCUGUCUGAUAUUACAUGAAGGUCAGAUGCCCUCCAUGCAACCAUAAGGUCGGAUGGCAGUUUGAUGCUGAACCAGCAAACAAGCCUACUCAGCAUGAAACUAUGAGUAUAAAAACCUUUAUGAUGACCCACCUCCACUUGGAUCAAUGAAUAGAAGAAGAGUUGUGGACAUAGACACAUACAGAGAGAAGAAAGACCAUGUGAAGUCACAGGGAGAAGACAGCCACCUACAUACCAAGGAGAGAGGCCGUACAACAAACCAACCCUGAGGACACCUUGAUCUUGGACUUCCAGCUUCCAGAUUUACCGGAAAAUAAAUUUCCGUUGUUUAAGCCACACAGUCUAUGGCAUUUUGUUAUGGCAGUUCUAGCAAACUAAUAUAUAGCCUAUAUCGUAUACUACUCAGUUUAGACUACUUUUAUUUUGGAACAUAUUAUACUUUUGCUACUUUUGCUUAUGCAGUUUCUUUCGCUUAGUGCCCCUUGCUAGUAGAUAUUUAUAUUUAAAGAUAUUUUAGGCCUGGCACAGUGGCUCACAUCUGUAAUUCCAACAUUUUGGCAGGCUGAGGUGAGUAAAUCACUUGAGGCCAGGAGUUUGAGAUCAGCCUGGCUAACAUGGUGAAACCCCUUCUCUACUAAAAAAUACAAAAAUUAGCCAGGCAUGGUGGUGGGUGCCUGUAAUCCCAGCUACUUGGGAGGCUGAGGCAGGAGAAUUGCUUGAACCCAGUAGGUGGAGGUUGCAGUGAGCCCACAUCACAUCACUGCACUCCAGCCUGGGCAACACAGUGAGACUCCAUCUGAAAAAACAUAUAUAUAUAUAUAUUUUUUUUUCUUCAAAGUAUUUCUCAAAAGCCUAUGAUCAUCAGAGCUAAAAGUAAUUUCUCCCUCUUCUACGUUGUUUUUGUAAUUUUCCCUUAUUUCUAACAAAGCAACCAUCCCAUUAUGUUUUAUUUCUCCUGUAAAAUUGCACCAGUCCUCAAAGAAAAGAUCAGAGCAGUGACAAGAGUCAAGUCAGACAUGGUGGUUGCUUGGAAUGAUAUGAUGACAGUGUUGGUGAAAAUACAUGAAAGGAGGUAGAAUGGAUGACUGUGGUGGUUUAUAAAAUGUAGGGAGACAAGUUAAAAGUCCAUAUGAAGGAUGCAGUCCUGGAAUGAGGAUGCUGUCGUCUUGGACCAUAAGACAUGAAGACAAGAGUGGUGUUAUGAACUGAAAGGAGCCAGGAGCUUUGUUGGAACAGAACCACCCUAUUAACCCUGGACUUCC